Molecule: long non-coding RNA, 832 nt
Filed under: Sorghum bicolor (sorghum)
Lineage: Eukaryota; Viridiplantae; Streptophyta; Magnoliopsida; Poales; Poaceae
Description: long non-coding RNA (SBIC_LNC008833)
Source: RNAcentral
AUGUAUUGUUAUAUAUGGAUUGAACUCCAUGUGAUAUAUGUUUGUGUAUCUUUAUGUGAUGAAACUUCAGUUUGAGUCUGGGUAUCAUAUAUGUGCUGGUUUGCAAUUGUAUUUUUUUUUUGUAUUUAUAUUGUCCGUUGGACUGUCCGACGCUAAAAUUGCAUGGACUGUUGGAUCAUCUGUCGUUGUAGGUAUGGUAACAGACUAGCUGUCGCUGAAAAAUAGCAAUGGAUGGUCUGACGCAAAAUAUAUUAAGGGUGACAGACUGUCUGACGCUAAAAGUAUGGUCUGACGCUGUAUCUUUUUAGCAUCAGCACUUACACCGUCUGUAGAAGUCUGACGCUAUAUAUUUUUAGCGUCAGACCAUCUGACAUUGUAGCCGCUUUUAGCGUUAGAUCAUCCGACGCUAAUUAUGGUGUUGUUGUGUAGUGGUACAAGCAGAGGGUGCAAUAACCAUAGUACAUUUGACCAUCUGCAAAACAACAUGGGAGUAGAACCAUGAGUACGAGAAUGUACUCAGCUAGACUUACCCGUCAUAAACCAAAAAUAAAGACUCUUCAAGGAUCAUGAAGGCUAUAUAGUGGGGUGGCUGAGACUUUUGCAUAAAAGCAUUGUUCCACUAAACAUAGUCUAAAAACCAUUGUUCUUUUAAUUAGCUCAAGUUCAAUAUUAUCAUUACCUAUUAUCUAGGUUUGCAUCUGUACUAUUACAAGCAAGUGUAGUAAUAUGAUGGUACCUCAUCAUAGCAUUCAUGAAACCAUUUAUCAUUAUAACCCAAGUGUUCCAUAGUCCUUACUAUGAGGACAGGGCUCAUGUCAAGUGCUCACUAUCC